Non-coding RNA from Cyanistes caeruleus (blue tit), 1084 nucleotides. The record is from RefSeq and is a predicted model, not a curated record. NCBI's taxonomy places the organism in Eukaryota, Metazoa, Chordata, Aves, Passeriformes, Paridae.
UUCAUUUUGGAACUUUGUAUAAUCUUUAGCUAUCAUUAGUUUCUGUCAACCACAGAAAUUUAAAAGCCUAACUGAAACAUCCUAAACAAUAUCCCUAGGCCGUUUUCCUCUAGAUUUUACAUUUAAUGCAAAGAGUAACUAAAAUGUGUGGAAUAUGACAAAGAUACCAAAAAGCAGCUGUGAAUGUUUAACAUCUCAGGACAUUUCCUCCCAUCACCUUUCUCCUCCUGUUCCACAAAGCCAAGCAGUGUGGGGGUACCACAGUUCAUGGGGAAACUCACAUUACUUUCACUGAACCUCCUGCUAUACCAGAUACAAAUCCAGAACUGAACAGCUUGUUACACAAUCACAGUGAUACUACAAAAAUAAUGCUAAACUAGCACGGAAGUCCUUGGCUUAAGCUGGAAACUGCUUUUAAUGCUUGAUUAUCACAUGAUGUCAGAGAUACUCAUAACUAAAACAUUCUAACACCACCACACUACCAGGAACCUGGGGACAUGAUGCCAUAAACACUGGGAGAAGGAACCAGGCUCCAGAGCAGCACUGCUGCCUGCUCAGCCCUGCUCUGUGCAAAAUCCACAGAGAGCUCUGCUGCACACCUCAGCCAGGCCCCUCUUGCUUUUCUCCAGACACUCCUCCUGCUCCGGUCAAGGAUCCAGCAGCAGCAGGGCAAAGGUGCUCACACCAUCUACACUCAAAUGGAUUCCAGCUCCCUGCAGGUCUCCCUGACUGCACAGGACAUGCUGGGCUCGGCACAGGAAGAGCCAGCGCCUCGAGAUUAGUCCUUGUGACAGCAGCUCUCUUCCUCUCCUGCAGAGAAAGAGGAAAGAGUCCCACAGCUGAACUGCUGCCACAAGAGGCCCAGGGGUCCCAGCAGUGUUUCUACAAGGGCUGCAGGAGACCCCCACAGCCGAGGACUCCAACAGCCAAGGCAGAGGUGGCACAUUCCCAUGCUGGGAUCAGAGCCAGAGCUUCGCUGCACCAGCUGUGCAGGCACCACGACACCUGGAACAGAGCUGGAUCUCAGCAAUGACUACAUGAACUCAUGUGCCACAAACACUUGAAGAAUAAAAAAUUAGGCUUA